Molecule: transfer RNA, 72 nt
Filed under: Camelus bactrianus (Bactrian camel)
Lineage: Eukaryota; Metazoa; Chordata; Mammalia; Artiodactyla; Camelidae
Also listed under: 2 other names
Rfam family: tRNA
About the family: Transfer RNA (tRNA) molecules are approximately 80 nucleotides in length.
Source: Rfam by way of RNAcentral
GAGGGUACAGCUCAGUGGUAGACCACAUGCUUAACAUGCACGAGGUCCUGGGUUCAAUCCCCGGUACUUCCA